This 301-nucleotide ribosomal RNA is filed under the name uncultured bacterium. RNAcentral's name for it is "partial 16S ribosomal RNA". It matches the Rfam family "Bacterial small subunit ribosomal RNA", at positions 509 to 809 of the family's 1533-position model. The record is from RNAcentral.
CAGUAGCCACGGUAAUACGGAGGGUGCAAGCGUUAAUCGGAAUUACUGGGCGUAAAGCGCACGCAGGCGGUCUGACAAGUCAGAUGUGAAAUCCCCGGGCUUAACCUGGGAACUGCAUUUGAAACUGUCAGGCUGGAGUCUUGUAGAGGGGGGUGGAAUUCCAGGUGUAGCGGUGAAAUGCGUAGAGAUCUGGAGGAAUACCGGUGGCGAAGGCGGCCCCCUGGACAAAGACUGACGCUCAGGUGCGAAAGCGUGGGGAGCAAACAGGAUUAGAUACCCGAGUAGUCCCUGUCUCUUAUAU